Molecule: long non-coding RNA, 357 nt
Filed under: Rhipicephalus microplus (southern cattle tick)
Lineage: Eukaryota; Metazoa; Arthropoda; Arachnida; Ixodida; Ixodidae
Description: uncharacterized LOC119179762, transcript variant X2
Source: RNAcentral
GCACAAUGUUACGAGGUGGAGGUACACAAGACCAACUGAACGUUCCUCCAAUAACAUGAAGAUUUUCGCAACGGUUUUUUUCCUGACGGCACAGGUUAUGCUUGUUGGAAGUGAUGGGUGCAUUGCGAGAUCCCACACAAUGAGAGGAUGCAGGUUUAUGGGCCACAGUCUCAGGAACGGCGAAAGCCUGGCACUCAUCCAACCCUGCGUUCGAGUUAUAUGCCUUCUUAAUGGACUCGGACUCCGACUCCGAACGUGUCCAUUCCAAACUGGCCAAAGCGUAGAUGUUGCAGGUCUGGGACAAGCAAGCCCGGUCGCCUACCCACAUUGCUGCGAGCGCUGCCGAGCUAUUCGAUG